UGAGGAAUAUUGGUCAAUGGGCGCGAGCCUGAACCAGCCAAGUAGCGUGAAGGAUGACUGCCCUACGGGUUGUAAACUUCUUUUAUAAAGGAAUAAAGUGAGGCACGUGUGCCUUUUUGUAUGUACUUUAUGAAUAAGGAUCGGCUAACUCCGUGCCAGCAGCCGCGGUAAUACGGAGGAUCCGAGCGUUAUCCGGAUUUAUUGGGUUUAAAGGGAGCGUAGAUGGGUUGUUAAGUCAGUUGUGAAAGUUUGCGGCUCAACCGUAAAAUUGCAAUUGAUACUGGCAGUCUUGAGUACAGUUGAGGUAGGCGGAAUUCGUGGUGUAGCGGUGAAAUGCUUAGAUAUCACGAAGAACUCCGAUUGCGAAGGCAGCUUACUAAACUGCCACUGACAUUGAUGCUCGAAAGUGUGGGUAUCAAACAGG
Molecule: ribosomal RNA, 424 nt
Filed under: uncultured bacterium
Lineage: Bacteria
Description: bacterial SSU rRNA
Rfam family: Bacterial small subunit ribosomal RNA
Source: RNAcentral